RNAcentral lists this ribosomal RNA (377 nucleotides) under uncultured bacterium. RNAcentral describes it as "bacterial SSU rRNA". It matches the Rfam family "Bacterial small subunit ribosomal RNA", at positions 29 to 433 of the family's 1533-position model. The record is from RNAcentral.
AACGAACGCUGGCGGCAUGCCUAACACAUGCAAGUCGAACGCGUGUAGCAAUACACGAGUGGCGGACGGGUGAGUAACGCGUGGGAACCUGCCCAGUGGUAGGGAAUAACUGCGGGAAACUGCAGCUAAUACCCUAUACGCCCUUUGGGGAAGAUUCAUCGCCAUUGGAGGGGCCCGCGUCGGAUUAGCUAGUUGGCGGGGUAAUGGCCCACCAAGGCAACGAUCCGUAGCUGGUCNGAGAGGAUGAUCAGCCACACUGGGACUGAGAUAGGGCCCAGACUCCUACGGGAGGCAGCAGUGGGGAAUAUUGGACAAUGGGGGAAACCCUGAUCCGGCAAUGCCGCGUGAGUGAAGAAGGCCUUCGGUUGUAAGUACUC